This 543-nucleotide ribosomal RNA is filed under the name uncultured bacterium. RNAcentral describes it as "bacterial SSU rRNA". It matches the Rfam family "Bacterial small subunit ribosomal RNA", at positions 358 to 916 of the family's 1533-position model. The record is from RNAcentral.
GGAAUCUUGCGCAAUGGGCGAAAGCCUGACGCAGCAACGCCGCGUGCGGGAAGAAGGCUUUCGGGCUGUAAACCGCUUUCAGCAGGAACGAAAAUGACGGUACCUGCAGAAGAAGGAGCGGCCAACUAUGUGCCAGCAGCCGCGGUGAUACAUAGGCUUCAAGCGUUGUCCGGAUUUAUUGGGCGUAAAGAGUUCGUAGGCGGUCGAGUAAGUCGGGUGUGAAAAUUCUGGGCUCAACCCAGAGACGCCACGCGAUACUGCUUAACUUGAGUUCGAUAGGGGAGUGGGGAAUUCCUAGUGUAGCGGUGAAAUGCGCAGAUAUUAGGAGGAACACCGGUGGCGAAGGCGCCACUCUGGAUCGACACUGAUGCUGAGGAACGAAAGCAUGGGUAGCAAACAGGAUUAGAUACCCUGGUAGUCCAUGCGGUAAACGGUGGGCACUAGGUGUGGGUUUCUAUUAACGAAAUCCGCGCCGUCGCUAACGCAUUAAGUGCCCCGCCUGGGGAGUACGGUCGCAAGACUAAAACUCAAAGGAAUUGACGG